This 468-nucleotide ribosomal RNA is filed under the name uncultured bacterium. RNAcentral describes it as "partial 16S ribosomal RNA". It matches the Rfam family "Bacterial small subunit ribosomal RNA", at positions 28 to 507 of the family's 1533-position model. The record is from RNAcentral.
GACGAACGCUGGCGGCGUGCCUAACACAUGCAAGUCGAACGGAAAGGCCCUUGUUUUGUGGGGUUGUCGAGUGGCGAACGGGUGAGUAACACGUGAGUAACUUUCCUUUAGUUUUGGGUUAACUUCAGGAAACCGGGGUUAUUACCCGUAAGGGCGACCGGCUGCAUGGGGGGGGUUGGAAAGUUUCGGCGGUUGGGGAUGGACCCGCGGCUUAUCAGCUUGUUGGUGGGGUAGUGGCUUACCAAGGCUUUGACGGGUAGCCGGCCUGAGAGGGUGACCGGCCACAUUGGGACUGAGAUACGGCCCAGACUCCUACGGGAGGCAGCAGUGGGGAAUAUUGCACAAUGGGCGGAAGCCUGAUGCAGCAACGCCGCGUGCGGGAUGACGGCCUUCGGGUUGUAAACCGCUUUCGCCUGUGACGAAGCGUGAGUGACGGUAAUGGGUAAAGAAGCACCGGCUAACUACGUG